This 480-nucleotide ribosomal RNA is filed under the name uncultured soil bacterium. Its description in RNAcentral is "bacterial SSU rRNA". It matches the Rfam family "Bacterial small subunit ribosomal RNA", at positions 26 to 507 of the family's 1533-position model. The record is from RNAcentral.
AGAUUGAACGCUGGCGGCAGGCCUAACACAUGCAAGUCGAGCGGCAGCACGGGUACUUGUACCUGGUGGCGAGCGGCGGACGGGUGAGUAAUGCCUAGGAAUCUGCCUGAUAGUGGGGGAUAACGCUCGGAAACGGACGCUAAUACCGCAUACGUCCUACGGGAGAAAGCAGGGGACCUUCGGGCCUUGCGCUAUCAGAUGAGCCUAGGUCGGAUUAGCUAGUUGGUGGGGUAAUGGCUCACCAAGGCGACGAUCCGUAACUGGUCUGAGAGGAUGAUCAGUCACACUGGAACUGAGACACGGUCCAGACUCCUACGGGAGCAGCAGUGGGGAAUAUUGGACAAGUGGGCGAAAGCCUGAUCCAGCCAUGCCGCGUGUGUGAAGAAGGUCUUCGGAUUGAAAGCACUUUAAGUGGAGAAGGCAGUACCUAAUACGUAUCUGUUUGACGUUACCGACAGAAUAAGCACCGCUAACUCUGUG